Molecule: ribosomal RNA, 537 nt
Filed under: uncultured Pseudozyma
Lineage: Eukaryota; Fungi; Basidiomycota; Ustilaginomycetes; Ustilaginales; Ustilaginaceae
Description: eukaryotic LSU rRNA
Rfam family: Eukaryotic large subunit ribosomal RNA
Source: RNAcentral
GGGAGCUGGCGUCUUCGGCGUCCGCAUUGUAAUCUCAAGAAGUGUUUUCCGCUUCGGACCAAGCCUAAGUCCCCUGGAAAGGGGCAUCAUAGAGGGUGAUAAUCCCGUACAUGGCUUGGAGCGCCCGAGGCUUUGUGAUACGCUUUCUAAGAGUCGAGUUGUUUGGGAAUGCAGCUCAAAAUGGGUGGUAAAUGCCAUCUAAGGCUAAAUAUUGGGGAGAGACCGAUAGCGAACAAGUACAGUGAUGGAAAGAUGAAAAGAACUUUGAAAAGAGAGUUAAACAGUACGUGAAAUUGCCAAAAGGGAAGGGUAGGAGGUCAGAGAUGCGGCCUGGGAUUCAGCCUUGCUUUUGCUUGGUGUUUUUCCCAGAUUGCAGGCCAACGUCGGUUUUGGGCACUGGAGAAGGGUAGGAGGAACGUGGCACCCCUCGGGGUGUGUUAUAGCCUCCUACUGGAUACAGCGACCGAGACCGAGGACAGCAGCGUACUCGCAAGAGCGGGCCUUCGGGCACCUUUACGCUUAGGGCGUUGGCAUAAU